This 74-nucleotide transfer RNA is filed under the name bacterium F11. It matches the Rfam family "tRNA". Rfam says of the family: Transfer RNA (tRNA) molecules are approximately 80 nucleotides in length. Their secondary structure includes four short double-helical elements and three loops (D, anti-codon, and T loops). The record is from Rfam by way of RNAcentral.
GGGCCCUUAGCUCAGUUGGUUAGAGCACUCCGCUCAUAACGGAAUGGUCGUAGGUUCAAGUCCUACAGGGCCCA